This 454-nucleotide ribosomal RNA is filed under the name uncultured bacterium. RNAcentral's name for it is "bacterial SSU rRNA". It matches the Rfam family "Bacterial small subunit ribosomal RNA", at positions 331 to 802 of the family's 1533-position model. The record is from RNAcentral.
UAAGCUUCCUACGGGAGGCUGCAGUGGGGAAUAUUGGACAAUGGGCGCAAGCCUGAUCCAGCCAUGCCGCGUGAGUGAUGACGGCCUUAGGGUUGUAAAGCUCUUUCAACGGUGAAGAUAAUGACGGUAACCGUAGAAGAAGCCCCGGCUAACUUCGUGCCAGCAGCCGCGGUAAUACGAAGGGGGCUAGCGUUGUUCGGAAUUACUGGGCGUAAAGCGCACGUAGGCGGACUUGUAAGUCAGGGGUGAAAUCCCGGGGCUCAACCCCGGAACUGCCUUUGAUACUGCGAGUCUUGAGGUCGAGAGAGGUGAGUGGAAUUCCGAGUGUAGAGGUGAAAUUCGUAGAUAUUCGGAGGAACACCAGUGGCGAAGGCGGCUCACUGGCUCGAUACUGACGCUGAGGUGCGAAAGCGUGGGGAGCAAACAGGAUUAGAUACCCUUGUAGUCGAAUUCU